CUGGGCGCCAAGCCUGAAGGCAAGCAGGGAAGAGGUUCUCAUCGGGGAGAACGUAAGUGCCUGGUGUUUGAGGAACAUUAAGAGACUUUUGGCCUGGAGACACUGAUGUGACAGACCCGGCUGGCCAGUACGCGGGCCUCUCCCGUUGUGGAGCACAGGCUCCGGACACGCAGGCUCACGGGCCCAGCCACUCCGCGGCAUGUGGGAUCUUCCCAGACCGGGGCACGAACCUGAGUCCCCUGCAUCGGCAGGCGGACUCUCAACCACUGCACCACCAGGAUCUCUCUCUCCUGACCCUCAUUGGUUGUUGCUUCUUUUGAGAAGACUCCUUUCUCCCAAGCAUACCUGAUAACUCCAAAGAAAAUUACAUGACAAUAUCUCCAUACCUUAAAAAA
Long non-coding RNA from Lagenorhynchus albirostris (white-beaked dolphin), 395 nucleotides. RefSeq lists it as uncharacterized. The record is from RefSeq and is a predicted model, not a curated record. NCBI's taxonomy places the organism in Eukaryota, Metazoa, Chordata, Mammalia, Artiodactyla, Delphinidae. The transcript has 3 exons.